This is a non-coding RNA of Camellia sinensis, 433 nucleotides long. Lineage: Eukaryota; Viridiplantae; Streptophyta; Magnoliopsida; Ericales; Theaceae. The record is from RefSeq and is a predicted model, not a curated record.
UUGGGUCUGGUUUUCAGCGUCAUGAUUUCCCUCUCCGUGUUUUUUUGCCCUGUUCUUCUUUCUUCCUCUGUAUUGUUUAAGGUUUCUACUAUAGGGUUUGUUAAGAGCAAUUCCUCAAUCACGAUAAUUAUUGUUCAAAAAAAGUCAAGUUACCUUGUUGUCAUGGAAAGAAACAUUUAUCAGAACAAAUUCUUGCAGUUAAUCCAAGCUAUUGCCUUUGGAAAGUAGAGGGACUAAACUCAUCACAAAAGCAAGCUUGAAGGAUAUGAAAUUUGUAAUUGAAGAAGUGGAUAUUUGAAUAACUAGUUUAUUUUUAUUUGUACAUGGCUAUGUUUUGUCCAUUAGCAUCCUUUGGAAACUUAAUUUUAGUGUUUUAUUAAGUCAACGUAUGACAAGUUUGUAUAAUUAUUUCAAUCCUUUUAAUGAAUUUUGU